Molecule: ribosomal RNA, 666 nt
Filed under: uncultured Actinomycetes bacterium
Lineage: Bacteria; Bacillati; Actinomycetota; Actinomycetes
Description: bacterial SSU rRNA
Rfam family: Bacterial small subunit ribosomal RNA
Source: RNAcentral
AGGAUUAGAUACCCUGGUAGUCCACGCCGUAAACGGUGGGCGCUAGUUGUGGGAACCUUCCACGGUUUCUGCGACGCAGCUAACGCAUUAAGCGCCCCGCCUGGGGAGUACGAUCGCAAGAUUAAAACUCAAAGGAAUUGACGGGGCCCCGCACAAGCAGCGGAGCAUGCGGCUUAAUUCGACGCAACGCGAAGAACCUUACCAAGGCUUGACAUAUACAGGAAUAUGGCAGAGAUGUCAUAGCGGUAAAACGUCUGUAUACAGGUGGUGCAUGGUUGUCGUCAGCUCGUGUCGUGAGAUGUUGGGUUAAGUCCCGCAACGAGCGCAACCCUCGUUCUGUGUUGCCAGCAUUUAGUUGGGGACUCACAGGAGACUGCCGGGGUUAACUCGGAGGAAGGUGGGGAUGACGUCAAAUCAUCAUGCCCCUUAUGUCUUGGGCUGCACGCAUGCUACAAUGGCUGGUACAAAGGGCUGCAAUACUGCAAAGUGGAGCGAAUCCCAAAAAGCCAGUCUCAGUUCGGAUUGGGGUCUGCAACUCGACCCCAUGAAGUCGGAGUUGCUAGUAAUCGUAGAUCAGCAACGCUACGGUGAAUACGUUCCCGGGGCUUGUACACACCGCCCGUCACAUCACGAAAGUCGGUAACACCCAAAGUCAGUGGCCCAACC